Megalobrama amblycephala (Wuchang bream) is the source of this 562-nucleotide long non-coding RNA. RefSeq lists it as uncharacterized. The record is from RefSeq and is a predicted model, not a curated record. The transcript has 5 exons. NCBI's taxonomy places the organism in Eukaryota, Metazoa, Chordata, Actinopteri, Cypriniformes, Xenocyprididae.
AGAGCUGGGUAGAGUGAACAGUGUGCAGAGCUGUAAUCUAGACAUUUGUAUUAUUUACAAAAUGUUGAAAAUAAUAAUAAUGAACAAUGAGUAGGAGUGUCCAACUUUGAACUUUGGAGUAGGUUGAGGAAACAAGUAUAAUUUCACUCAGGCACUUUCAGAGACGCCUACACUGGGUCCUUCAUUGCAUCCGAAGCGAAGGACUUUUUUGGUUAGUGUCCACGUGGAGCUGAACCAGUGUUACCACGCGCUCUUAAAGUGGCGGUUUCGUUGCAAAUGUUGAAAGUAUGUGGCUUUAUAUUGAAACACGUGGGCGUGUAACUGUCACAUGUUGAGACCAUGAGGGCCAGGAGUUGCUUUUGAACCCUCCAGGUGAACAACCAAUGCGGUAAAAGGCUGCUGUUGCAACAUGGGCAGGGUUGCAUGACACCUGGGUCUACAUUCUCCUUUCUAGUGGAGGCAAAUUACCCAGAAUUCAAGGAUUAGUGGUGUGUGAGAUGCUGUUUUCUGCAUAUGUGUUUCUGCAGUACAUACUUUUAUAAAUAAAACCUUCUGCUUAACA